CGCGUGCGGGGAAGAAGGCCUUCGGGUUGUAAACCGACCUUUUUGUUCAGGGGAAAGGAAAAAAGGACGGCAGUCUAAUACAUUGCGGCCAUGACGGUACCUGAAGAAUAAGCACCGGCUAACUACGUGCCAGCAGCCGCGGUAAUACGUAGGGUGCGAGCGUUAAUCGGAAUUACUGGGCGUAAAGCGUGCGUAGGCGGUUAUGCAAGACAGAUGUGAAAUCCCCGAGCUCAACUUGGGAACGGCAUUUGUGACUGCAUGGCUUGAGUGCGGCAGAGGGGGAGUGGAAUUCCGCGUGUAGCAGUGAAAUGCGUAGAUAUGCGGAGGAACACCGAUGGCGAAGGCAAUCCCCUGGGCCUGCACUGACGCUCAUGCACGAAAGCGUGGGGAGCAAACAGGAUUAGAUACCCUGGUAGUCCACGCCCUAAACGAUGUCAACUGGUUG
RNAcentral lists this ribosomal RNA (445 nucleotides) under uncultured bacterium. RNAcentral describes it as "bacterial SSU rRNA". It matches the Rfam family "Bacterial small subunit ribosomal RNA", at positions 398 to 822 of the family's 1533-position model. The record is from RNAcentral.